AAUCAACGCUGGCGGCGUGCCUCAGACAUGCAAGUCGAACGCGAAAGUCCCCUUCGGGGGACAAGUAGAGUGGCGCACGGGUGAGUAACACGUAGGUAAUCUACCUUUGGAUGGGGAAUAACAACCGGAAACGGUUGCUAAUACCGCAUAAUGCAGCGGCACCUAAUGGUGACAGUUGUUAAAGCGGGGAUCGAAAGACCUCGCGUCUGAAGAGGAGCCUGCGGCGGAUUAGCUAGNGGUAAGGUAACGGCUUACCAAGGCGACGAUCCGUAGCCGGCCUGAGAGGGCGGUCGGCCACACUGACACUGACAUACGGGUCAGACUCC
Molecule: ribosomal RNA, 326 nt
Filed under: uncultured bacterium
Lineage: Bacteria
Description: bacterial SSU rRNA
Rfam family: Bacterial small subunit ribosomal RNA
Source: RNAcentral